GCGGGCGUAGCUCAGGGGUAGAGCACUAGCUUCCCAAGCUGGGUGUCGAGGGUUCGAAUCCCUUCACCCGCU
This 72-nucleotide transfer RNA is filed under the name Planctomycetota bacterium. Its description in RNAcentral is "Planctomycetes bacterium (wastewater metagenome) tRNA-Gly". It matches the Rfam family "tRNA". Rfam says of the family: Transfer RNA (tRNA) molecules are approximately 80 nucleotides in length. Their secondary structure includes four short double-helical elements and three loops (D, anti-codon, and T loops). Lineage: Bacteria; Pseudomonadati; Planctomycetota. The record is from RNAcentral.